This 421-nucleotide ribosomal RNA is filed under the name uncultured bacterium. Its description in RNAcentral is "bacterial SSU rRNA". It matches the Rfam family "Bacterial small subunit ribosomal RNA", at positions 355 to 773 of the family's 1533-position model. The record is from RNAcentral.
UGAGGAAUAUUGGUCAAUGGGGGCAACCCUGAACCAGCCAAGUCGCGUGAAGGAUGAAGGUCUUAUGGAUUGUAAACUUCUUUUACACGGGAAUAAAGUGGGGGACGUGUCCCCCUUUGCAUGUACCGUGUGAAUAAGGAUCGGCUAACUCCGUGCCAGCAGCCGCGGUAAUACGGAGGAUCCGAGCGUUAUCCGGAUUUAUUGGGUUUAAAGGGUGCGCAGGCGGGAUGUUAAGUCGGCGGUGAAAUUUUGCAGCUCAACUGUAAAAGUGCCUUCGAUACUGGCCUCCUUGAGUGUGGAUGAAGUAGGCGGAAUUUGUGGUGUAGCGGUGAAAUGCUUAGAUAUCACGAGGAACUCCGAUUGCGCAGGCAGCUUACUAAGCCACAACUGACGCUCAUGCACGAAGGCGUGGGGAUCAAAC